GGGCCCGUGGCCUAGUCUGGUGGGGCGCUGGUCUUAUAAACCAGAGGUCCUGGGUUCAAAUCCCAGCGGGCCCA
RNAcentral lists this transfer RNA (74 nucleotides) under Nanobdellota archaeon. RNAcentral's name for it is "tRNA-Ile". It matches the Rfam family "tRNA". Rfam says of the family: Transfer RNA (tRNA) molecules are approximately 80 nucleotides in length. Their secondary structure includes four short double-helical elements and three loops (D, anti-codon, and T loops). RNAcentral also lists the same sequence under 1 other name. Lineage: Archaea; Nanobdellati; Nanobdellota. The record is from RNAcentral.